RNAcentral lists this ribosomal RNA (554 nucleotides) under uncultured bacterium. Its description in RNAcentral is "partial 16S ribosomal RNA". It matches the Rfam family "Bacterial small subunit ribosomal RNA", at positions 355 to 900 of the family's 1533-position model. The record is from RNAcentral.
UAGGGAAUCUUCCACAAUGGACGCAAGUCUGAUGGAGCAACGCCGCGUGAGUGAAGAAGGUUUUCGGACCGUAAAGCUCUGUUGUUGGUGAAGAAGGAUAGAGGUAGUAACUGGCCUUUAUUUGACGGUAAUCAACCAGAAAGUCACGGCUAACUACGUGCCAGCAGCCGCGGUAAUACGUAGGUGGCAAGCGUUGUCCGGAUUUAUUGGGCGUAAAGCGAGCGCAGGCGGAAGAAUAAGUCUGAUGUGAAAGCCCUCGGCUUAACCGAGGAAUUGCAUCGGAAACUGUUUUCUCGAGUGCAGAAGAGGAGAGUAGAACUCCAUGUGUAGCGGUGGAAUGCGUAGAUAUAUGGAAGAAUACCAGUGGCGAAGGCGGCUCUCUGGUCUGCAACUGACGCUGAGGCUCGAAAGCAUGGGUAGCGAACAGGAUUAGAUACCCUGGUAGUCCAUGCCGUAAACGAUGAGUGCUAAGUGUUGGGAGGCUUCCGCCUCUCAGUGCUGCAGCUAACGCAUUAAGCACUCCGCCUGGGGGAGUACGACCGCAAGGUUGAAAC